GACGAACGCUGGCGGCGUGCUUAACACAUGCAAGUCGAACGGAGUGGCGAACGGGUGAGUAACACGUGGGUGACCUGCCCUGCACUUCGGGAUAAGCCUGGGAAACUGGGUCUAAUACCGGAUAGUGUGGGAUGGGCCCGGGGCCAAUCAGUUUGUUGGGUGGGUAAUGGCCUACCAAGGCGGCGACGGGUAGCCGGCCUGAGCGGGGGGACGGCCACAUUGGGACUGAGGCACGGGCCAGAGGCCUACGGGAGGCAGCAGUGGGGAAUAUUGCACAAUGGGCGGAAGCCUGAUGCAGGGACGCCGCGUGGGUGAUGACGGCCGUCGGGUUGUAAACGCCUGUCACCAUCGACGCGGUAGAUGGAGAAGAAGCACCGGCUAACUACGUGCCAGCAGCCGCGGUAAUUC
Molecule: ribosomal RNA, 408 nt
Filed under: uncultured bacterium
Lineage: Bacteria
Description: partial 16S ribosomal RNA
Rfam family: Bacterial small subunit ribosomal RNA
Source: RNAcentral